CGAAAACUGAAGAGGGAGUGAAAGGUCUACCUCCUAGCAAAUUACUGGAAGGAACAUGAGAAAAAGAUGGGGUCUUGCUCUUGGUCAGGCUGGUCUCGAAA
Long non-coding RNA from Lemur catta (Ring-tailed lemur), 101 nucleotides. RefSeq lists it as uncharacterized. NCBI's taxonomy places the organism in Eukaryota, Metazoa, Chordata, Mammalia, Primates, Lemuridae. The transcript has 3 exons. The record is from RefSeq and is a predicted model, not a curated record.